Molecule: long non-coding RNA, 657 nt
Filed under: Homo sapiens (human)
Lineage: Eukaryota; Metazoa; Chordata; Mammalia; Primates; Hominidae
Description: non-protein coding lnc-SPATA31D1-4:37
Source: RNAcentral
UUUCAGGCAAUAUGAUAAAAUUGAAAAAUUUCACAAAUGUCAGGAGAACAAGAUCUGGUGUCUGGGUUUCAACUCUUAGAGCUUCCCAGCUCGUAGCUAUGCUCCUGAAUUCCUCUGGCAGCCCUCCUCAAGGACCUCUGUGAGACAAAGUCAGAAAUGACUUCACUGGAGACCAAGAGAGCCCACAGAGCUCUUCCUGCUGCUUCUUCUACCCUUGUACUCACUCGGCUCUCUAAAUUUGUCUCAGCUCCAGCCAUGUAAAACAUGCUUGCUUCCCCUUCACCUACUGCCAUGAUUGUCAGUUUCCUGAGAUCUUCCUCCCAGAAGCUUUUACUCUGUACAGAAGCCUGUACAGCCUGCAGAACCGUGAGCUAACUAAACCUCUUUUCAUUAUAAAUUACCCAGUCUCGGGUAUGUCUUUAUAGCAAUGUGAGAAUGGACUAAUACACACACACUCCUAUUUUAUCUUCUCUAACUUUCCCCCUUCCCCACAUGUCUCCAGCCACAUUGUCUCAUUAUAGCUCUUCAAACUCACCAAACACCCUCCUGCCUCUGAGCCUUUGCACUAGCUAUUCCCUCUGCCUGGAACACUUUUCACUCAUUUAAUAAAAUGGUUCAUUCUCUCACUUCCAUCUGAUGUAUAUCCAAAUGUUUUCU